RNAcentral lists this ribosomal RNA (406 nucleotides) under uncultured bacterium. RNAcentral's name for it is "partial 16S ribosomal RNA". It matches the Rfam family "Bacterial small subunit ribosomal RNA", at positions 30 to 526 of the family's 1533-position model. The record is from RNAcentral.
AUUGAACGCUGGCGGCAGGCCUAACACAUGCAAGUCGAACGAGUGGCGGACGGGUGAGUAAUGUCUGGGAAACUGCCUGAUGGAGGGGGAUCACUACUGGAAACGGUCGCUAAUAACGCAAACCAUCAGAUGUGCACAGAUGGGAUUAGAUAGUUGGGGGGGGAACGGCUCACCAAGGCGACGCUCCCUAGCUGGUCUUCGAGGAUGACCAGACACACUGGAACUGAGACACGGUCCAGACUCCUACGGUAGGCAGCAGUGGGGAAUAUUGCACAAUGGGCGCAAGCCUGAUGCAGCCAUGCCGCGUGUAUGAAGAAGGCCGUCGGGUUGUAAAGUACUUUCAGCGGGGAGGCGUUACCCGCAGAAGAAGCACCGGCUAACUCCGUGCCAGCAGCCGCGGUAAUUC